AUUAAUAGUUUGGCCUGCUCACUGACAUAAUAUAAUGUUAAAGAGCCGCGGUAUUCUGACCGUGCAAAGGUAGCAUAAUCAUUAGUUCUUUAAUUGAGAACUUGUAUGAAUGGUCGGACAAGAGAAACCCUGUCUCUACUAUUAUAAUAGAAUUUAACUUUUAAGUGAAAAGGCUUAAAUUUUUCAAGGGGACGAUAAGACCCUAUAAAGCUUUAUAUAUUAAUCAGAAUUAAUUAAAUUGAAUAGAUAAAAAUUUAGUCUUAAAAAUAUAUUUAGUUGGGGCGACGAAAGUAUAAUUGAUAAUAACUGCUUAAACUUUAUACAAUAAUAAAUGAUUUUUUUUUAAUUGAUCCUUUUUAAAGAUUAAAGAUCAAGUUACUUUAGGGAUAACAGCGUAAUUUCUUUUGAGAGUCCAUAUCGAAGAAGAAGUUUGCGACCUCGAUGUUGAAUUAAAAUAUCUUUAUAGUGCAGCAGCUAUAAAAAGAAGGUCUGUUCGACCUUUAA
RNAcentral lists this ribosomal RNA (504 nucleotides) under Chaceon notialis. RNAcentral's name for it is "partial 16S ribosomal RNA". It matches the Rfam family "Archaeal large subunit ribosomal RNA", at positions 1937 to 2660 of the family's 2987-position model. Lineage: Eukaryota; Metazoa; Arthropoda; Malacostraca; Decapoda; Geryonidae. The record is from RNAcentral.